CCUACGGGAGGCAGCAGUGGGGAAUCUUGCGCAAUGGGCGAAAGCCUGACGCAGCCAUGCCGCGUGAAUGAUGAAGGUCUUAGGAUUGUAAAAUUCUUUCACCGGGGACGAUAAUGACGGUACCCGGAGAAGAAGCCCCGGCUAACUUCGUGCCAGCAGCCGCGGUAAUACGAAGGGGGCUAGCGUUGCUCGGAAUUACUGGGCGUAAAGGGAGCGUAGGCGGAUAGUUUAGUCAGAGGUGAAAGCCCAGGGCUCAACCUUGGAAUUGCCUUUGAUACUGGCUAUCUUGAGUUUGGGAGAGGUGAGUGGAACUCCGAGUGUAGAGGUGAAAUUCGUAGAUAUUCGGAAGAACACCAGUGGCGAAGGCGACUCACUGGCCCAAUACUGACGCUGAGGCUCGAAAGCGUGGGGAGCAAACAGGAUUAGAUACCCUGGUAGUCCACGCCGUAAACGAUGAGUGCUAGUUGUCGGCAUGCAUGCAUGUCGGUGACGCAGCUAACGCAUUAAGCACUCCGCCUGGGGAGUACGGUCGCAAGNUUAAAACUCAAAUGAAUUGACGG
This 560-nucleotide ribosomal RNA is filed under the name uncultured bacterium. Its description in RNAcentral is "bacterial SSU rRNA". It matches the Rfam family "Bacterial small subunit ribosomal RNA", at positions 338 to 916 of the family's 1533-position model. The record is from RNAcentral.